RNAcentral lists this ribosomal RNA (583 nucleotides) under Aeromonas sp. A501A. RNAcentral describes it as "bacterial SSU rRNA". It matches the Rfam family "Bacterial small subunit ribosomal RNA", at positions 46 to 612 of the family's 1533-position model. The record is from RNAcentral. Lineage: Bacteria; Pseudomonadati; Pseudomonadota; Gammaproteobacteria; Aeromonadales; Aeromonadaceae.
AACUAAAGCAAUCUGCGCGUCGAGCGGCAGCGGGACAGUAGCUUGCUACUUUUGCCGGCGAGCGGCGGACGGGUGAGUAAUGCCUGGGGAUCUGCCCAGUCGAGGGGGAUAACUACUGGAAACGGUAGCUAAUACCGCAUACGCCCUACGGGGGAAAGCAGGGGACCUUCGGGCCUUGCGCGAUUGGAUGAACCCAGGUGGGAUUAGCUAGUUGGUGAGGUAAUGGCUCACCAAGGCGACGAUCCCUAUCUGGUCUGAGAGGAUGAUCAGCCACACUGGAACUGAGACACGGUCCAGACUCCUACGGGAGGCAGCAGUGGGGAAUAUUGCACAAUGGGGGAAACCCUGAUGCAUCCAUGCCGCGUGUGUGAAGAAGGCCUUCGGGUUGUAAAGCACUUUCAGCGAGGAGGAAAGGUUGGUAUCUAAUAUCUGCCAGCUGUGACGUUACUCGCAGAAGAAGCACCGGCUAACUCCGUGCCAGCACCCGCGGUAAUACGGAGGGUGCAAGCGUUAAUCGGAAUUACUGGGCGUAAAGCGCACGCAGGCGGUUGGAUAAGUUAGAUGUGAAACCCCCCGGGCACAA